UGAGUUUGAUCGUGGCUCAGGAUGAACGCUAGCGGGAGGCCUAACACAUGCAAGCCGAGCGGUAGAUUACGUUUCGGGUAAUUGAGAGCGGCGUACGGGUGCGGAACACGUGUGCAACCUGCCUUUAUCAGGGGGAUAGCCUUUCGAAAGGAAGAUUAAUACCCCAUAAUAUAUUAUUCGGCAUCGGGUGAUAUUGAAAACUACGGUGGAUAGAGAUGGGCACGCGCAAGAUUAGCUAGUUGGUGAGGUAACGGCUCACCAAGGCGACGAUCUUUAGGGGGCCUGAGAGGGUGAUCCCCCACACUGGUACUGAGACACGGACCAGACUCCUACGGGAGGCAGCAGUGAGGAAUAUUGGACAAUGGGUGAAAGCCUGAUCCAGCCAUCCCGCGUGCAGGAAGACGGCCCUAUGGGUUGUAAACUGCUUUUAUCUGGGGAUAAACCUACUUACGUGUAAGUAGCUGAAGGUACCAGAAGAAUAAGCACCGGCUAACUCCGUGCCAGCCGCCGCCGUAACACA
RNAcentral lists this ribosomal RNA (520 nucleotides) under Elizabethkingia anophelis. RNAcentral describes it as "bacterial SSU rRNA". It matches the Rfam family "Bacterial small subunit ribosomal RNA", at positions 1 to 527 of the family's 1533-position model. Lineage: Bacteria; Pseudomonadati; Bacteroidota; Flavobacteriia; Flavobacteriales; Weeksellaceae. The record is from RNAcentral.